RNAcentral lists this long non-coding RNA (906 nucleotides) under Homo sapiens (human). RNAcentral's name for it is "non-protein coding lnc-MTUS2-4:1". The record is from RNAcentral. Lineage: Eukaryota; Metazoa; Chordata; Mammalia; Primates; Hominidae.
AAAGUGGGCAAAGGACAUGAAUAGACAUUUCUCAAAAGAAGAUAUACACAUGGCCAAUAAAUAUAAGAAAAAAUGCUCAACAUCACUAAUCAUCAGGAAAAUGCAAAUUAAAGCCACAGUGAGAUACCACCUUAUCACAGCCAGAAAGGCCAUUAUUAAAAAGUCAAAAAACAGUAGAUGCUGAUAUGGAUAUGGUGAAAAACAUGUACACAGCUGGUGGGAGGGUAAAUCAGUACAACCAUUAUGGAAAAUAGUAUGAAGAUUUCUUAAAGAACUAAAAGCAGAUCUACCAUUCAAUCCAGCAACCCCCCUACUGGGUAUCUACCCAAAGGAAAAUAAGUCAUUAUAUCAAAAAGACAUCUAUAUGAUAUUUAUCACAGCAUAAUUGUUGGGACACAGGCUACCCCAGGGAACCUUAUCAGCUCAUCUGAACCCUGUGUGUUGUGCAUCUGUCCAACCACAUACUCCUGAGCGCCAGACUCUGUUCUAGGGGGUGAGGAUAUACAAAUGUGCAGGGUUAAUGUUUAGUUUCCUCACACGUUUCAACUCCCUUCUUUUGAAGGAGGAUCCCAAUGCUGGGAGAUGGAUCAGGAACAGGGCUCAUUCUAGGUCCCAUAAUCCCUUUCAAAGCACUAGGCUGAGAGGUCUAAGCAUCAAGAGGCCCCUCAGUGGCUGUCCUGUGUUCCCUAGAGUUCCUGACCUCAGAGGGCAGAUCUGGCCCCACCCCUGUGCUACCUGCGGAAUCAUGGGCUCAAUUCCUCUGGGGAGGCUGAAACUCCUGCUCCCCCCCACGCCUACCUUCACACACAUCCUAUAACUCCUCUCUUCUUCUCCCUAAAUGGGAACUCAGUGGCAUUGGACAUGACUGGGCAAGGGUGAGUCCCUAUCAGAAUCCUCCGUCUUCUU